CAAACUGCCAUGACAACUGCUUUACCCAACAUUUUGGUUCACAGACUUAACUAAGAUCAGCCAUGUGGACAGAUUUGUAGACUGUUACAGGACUUUGACUCUCUGGAUCUGAAGAAGGCACCAAUCCCUGCUAAACCAUGAAUAUUGACACCAGCUGCAGCAUCAUCUUCAGACUCAGGAGAAGUCUUUCAGGGCGAUAGAUUUGAGAUUGAGUUCUCAUCUUCUCAGCUGCAACGACCGAUUAAAGCCUUUUUCCUUGGCAAUACUCCUCAUCUCAGUCAUUGGAUUUCUGUCCAGAGAGCAGCAACACCCACAUCAAAGUCUCAUGUUUUGGUACCAAAGACUUGAACUUAAAACCAUAGCCUGGAUCUUUCUCUUUGUCAAUCUUGAUGGCCACAAAUAUUCACGAGUCCUCACGUCACAAGAAAAAAAAGUUUUGAAUUUCUCUCAUCACCUUGAUGUUUAUAUUUAUGGUGUUUGAAGUUAACACUUCAUAUAAAUGUGCCAUGGGAAUUGACUACCGUUCUUUACCC
Papio anubis (olive baboon) is the source of this 533-nucleotide long non-coding RNA. The record is from Ensembl. NCBI's taxonomy places the organism in Eukaryota, Metazoa, Chordata, Mammalia, Primates, Cercopithecidae.